Molecule: ribosomal RNA, 807 nt
Filed under: Triticum aestivum (bread wheat)
Lineage: Eukaryota; Viridiplantae; Streptophyta; Magnoliopsida; Poales; Poaceae
Description: partial small subunit ribosomal RNA
Source: RNAcentral
AUGCAGCAGUUGAUAGUCUCCGUCGGUCAAUUUUCGUCCCACCACUUUGGUUUGGUUUUUUUCGUGCCGCUGCUGCCUACCCCGCCUCCUACCGGUGCGCCACCACUCCCGCCUCCUUCCGGCGCGCCGUCAUCCCCGCCACCUACCAGCGCGCCGUCAUCCCCGUCUCCUACCGGCGCGCCGCCGGACCCUCCUUCUUCCCUGGAGCGCCGCCACCCCGCUGCCCCCGCCGUCUUCCCGAGCGCGCCGCUGCCGCCGUCUUCCCCAGAGCGCCACCGCCCCGCCACCCCCGCCCACGGGACCAGUGGUCCCAUCGCCGGUCUCCCCCCACCCAGAUCUGCCGGAGGCGCACCGAAUCCUGCCUCACGGCCGGUUCCCGCGACUCGGCCGCCGCCCCAACCGCUGCAGCAGCCGAGCACCUCCACUAGGUGCCCCGGCGGUUCAGACCCCCACCUGGCCCCUCCCUCGAACCCAGCGAGCCUCCGCCCCGGCCUACUUCCCGCGCGAGGUCGCCUCGCCUCCUCCUGGCGCACCGCCGCCCCCACCAUCUGGAUCGAUGUCCCACUUGAGUUAGACGUGAACGAUAUGUUGAAGAGAAAGGGGGCACAGGCUAUUUCAGACCCUGAUUCGUUUUCUCAGGCAAUGGCAAAGCUCCGUCAGCGUUAUGAUGAUCUGAAAGAGCGGUAUGCAGUUUCUGAUGUUACUGUUUCAGUACAGAACGUGGCUUCUCAGCUAGGCUACAGUAGCAUUGACUCUUUGAGCCUGGAGGACAUGGUCAUUGAGGUUUGCAAUAUAAGCAUACUAUAG